This 1107-nucleotide long non-coding RNA is filed under the name Equus caballus (horse). Its description in RNAcentral is "lncRNA (ENSECAG00000058161.1)". The record is from RNAcentral. Lineage: Eukaryota; Metazoa; Chordata; Mammalia; Perissodactyla; Equidae.
CAAGGCGUAGCUAUUUUCACAUCUGGGUAAGAGGCCAAGAACAGGAGAAUAGAACCAUGGCACAGACUAUGAAAUUCUUGAUGACAGAGACUCAGUAUUAUUCAUCUUUCUGGCCUCAAGACUAAUAUACUGACCCUGAAAGAAAUAGGUACUCAAUUAAUAUUUGGUGGUCUGUGCCCUCCUGUUGGCCCAGUUUCUUCCCAGCGUUGUUCCUGAUUGAGACUGUAUGCUGGGUUUUGGAAAGCCCUGCUUUUUGUUAAUUGUUCAAACAAACCCUCUCUAAUAGCAGCACGUGUAAAAGAAGACUUUAGAAUUUAAUUUAUUCCAGUGUAAUGAGGCUGCCAAAAAGAGAUCAAGCUUAAUGGGUUCCAGCAUGAGUGUGCAGUUUCAGAAAUGAAGUUCCACUUCAAUUCACAAGUUAUUAUCUACUUUCAUUAAUGGAAUUGGAAAAGAGAGAGUGGAAAAGAGAUAAAGAAUGAGGAAGAAGAGAGAGAUGAGAGAGUGGGAGGAAGAAAAAAAUAAAGAAAAUAAAAGACCAGGAUGAAAGAAAAAAAAGUCGACCAAAUGGAAAAGAAAAAGUCAGACUAAGUGUAAAUAGGAAGCAGAAAGGAUCUUUCCCCUACUGUGCUGGUCUUGGGAGCUACACUGAAGGUAGUGCAACCACACGGAAGAAGGAGGCAGAAUCAGCAGUUUGAGAGCAGCAGUAAGAACACUGUUUAGACUUGAGACAUGGAAGAAGACUGACCUGGUCCCUGCAAUCCCAGGAGACUGUCAAGUUCCCCCAACCCUUUAAAGCCCUUCGCUAGUGGUUAUGGAAAGAGACAGAGCUACAUUCUACUCCUGGAUAAUCACUAGUUAAUGGUGUGAGGUUGGAAGGCCAAUGCAAUUUGAGAAGUACUUCUUGAGUACCUACCACGUAUUUGUCAUCAUGCUAAACACUAAAUAUUCAAAGGUUAAGGCUCUACCUUGAAGAAGAUAUGAGUCUAAAGGGAGAAGAAUCAGCAUGUUUGUAACUACAGUGGAACUCCCACACCAGAAGAAUGGACAGAAGCUAUGGAAGUACAGAGGAGGGAUCAUUUAGACUGAGGAGGAGCCAUUUGAAUUGGG